CCUACGGGGGGCAGCAGUGAGGAAUAUUGGUCAAUGGGCGCGAGCCUGAACCAGCCAAGUCGCGUGAGGGAAGACGGUCCUAUGGAUUGUAAACCUCUUUUGUCGGGGAGCAAAAGACGCCACGCGUGGCGUUCCGAGAGUACCCGAAGAAAAAGCAUCGGCUAACUCCGUGCCAGCAGCCGCGGUAAUACGGAGGAUGCGAGCGUUAUCCGGAUUUAUUGGGUUUAAAGGGUGCGCAGGCGGAAGAUCAAGUCAGUGGUAAAAUUGAGAGGCUCAACCUCUUCGAGCCGUUGAAACUGGUUGUCUUGAGUGAGCGAGAGGUAUGCGGAAUGCGUGGUGUAGCGGUGAAAUGCAUAGAUAUCACGCAGAACUCCGAUUGCGAAGGCAGCAUACCGGCGCUCAACUGACGCUCAUGCACGAAAGUGUGGGUAUCGAACAGGAUUAGAUACCCUGGUAGUC
This 459-nucleotide ribosomal RNA is filed under the name uncultured bacterium. RNAcentral describes it as "partial 16S ribosomal RNA". It matches the Rfam family "Bacterial small subunit ribosomal RNA", at positions 338 to 795 of the family's 1533-position model. The record is from RNAcentral.